This 582-nucleotide ribosomal RNA is filed under the name uncultured bacterium. Its description in RNAcentral is "partial 16S ribosomal RNA". It matches the Rfam family "Bacterial small subunit ribosomal RNA", at positions 355 to 932 of the family's 1533-position model. The record is from RNAcentral.
UGGGGAAUUUUGGACAAUGGGCGAAAGCCUGAUCCAGCAAUGCCGCGUGUGUGAAGAAGGCCUUCGGGUUGUAAAGCACUUUUGUCCGGAAAGAAAUCCUUGGCUCUAAUACAGUCGGGGGAUGACGGUACCGGAAGAAUAAGCACCGGCUAACUACGUGCCAGCAGCCGCGGUAAUACGUAGGGUGCAAGCGUUAAUCGGAAUUACUGGGCGUAAAGCGUGCGCAGGCGGUUUGCUAAGACCGAUGUGAAAUCCCCGGGCUCAACCUGGGAACUGCAUUGGUGACUGGCAGGCUAGAGUAUGGCAGAGGGGGGUAGAAUUCCACGUGUAGCAGUGAAAUGCGUAGAGAUGUGGAGGAAUACCGAUGGCGAAGGCAGCCCCCUGGGCCAAAUACUGACGCUCAUGCACGAAAGCGUGGGGGAGCAAAACAGGAUUNGAUACCCUGGUAGUCCACGCCCUAAAACGAUGUCAACUAGUUGUUGGGGAUUCAUUUCCUUAGUAACGUAGCUAACGCGUGAAGUUGACCGCCUGGGGAGUACGUCGCAAGAUUAAAACUCAAAUGAAUUGACGGGGUCAUAGCUG